ACGGUGUCUCGCUCUUGUUGCCCUGGCUGGAGUGCAGUGGCGUGAUCCCAGCUCACUGCAACCUCUGCCUCCUGGGUUCAAGGGAUUCUCCUAUCUCAGCCUCCUGAGCACCUUUUAACUUGAUCAUUUGUUUUGUUCCAGGAACAGUUUACAUCUGUGCUUAUUAACUUACUUUAAGCCUGCUCCCAUCGUCCACGGAAAUUUUUUUGAGGCUUUAAUUUCUUUAUCUGGCAAUGACAUUUUUAUUAUAAAAUUUCAUUUUGCAUUAUUAAAAGUAUUUAUUUUUAAAAAAUGUGUUCCAAGUGUAAAGUGUGCUUGUGCCCUUGGAGACUCUGGUACACCUUCUCCCAAAUCUGCCCCUACCUUUGCUAUUGAUUGUCGUUCACAAGGCAGUUGUGCAGGAUAUUAAGAAAUAGUUCUUGUCAUUGAUGAAUUUACAGUUUAGUAUGGGAGUCAGAUAAAUAACCGAGUCUCUGCCUGUCUCAUGAGAUGGACCAUCCCAAGAAUAUUUCCCUUUCAUCACCUUCUUUCUUUCAUGGUAAUAAUUUCUUCAGUAACAUAAUUAGGUAGCAAGUAUGUUUAUCUGGAGUCACCUUGUUACUGGAUUGGCUUAUUUGCUUACUUUCUCACACUCUCCCACCAGAAUAUGUGCUCCAGGAGAGCAGGGGCAGUGUCUGUUUGCUCCAGUUUCUAGAACAGUGUAUUGCUCAGAAAAGAAGAAACAGGCGGCAUUUCUGUCUGGGGGAGUUAGGAAGCGGUUCAUGGUGGAAGAAAUAUUUAAGAAAAGAGAUGUGGUGAGAACAGCCAAAGAAGAAUGAUAAGACGUAGUCAAAAUUGCAUAGCCCUCAAACCUUUGUUGAAAACUCAUUUGUCUAUUUUAGGGAUUCCCAAUACGGUGAUAGACUGAUGGGGAACUAAAUUAACAACAGUUUUGUUGCGUGUGGUCUUUCCAAAGCAGAGUUUCAUGCUUUCUUCAAUAGUGAGGUACUGCUCAUGCCAAAAUAACCAGUUCCUGUUGCGUGUAAUAUCAGUGACUCCUCAUUUAACCUGAGCUCCUAACUAGCAGGGUGUUUACAUGAAAUAUGGGACAGAAAGAAGGUAGAACAGCAGUAUGAUUAGUGUGAAGGCUUAACCAGCCAGAGAGAUCUGGUUAGAAUCUGCUAUGCUGCUUUGCAGCCAUGCCAUAAGAGGUAUUCUUCCAUGAUUUUUAAUUAUGUAUUUUUCAUACACUCAUUUAUUAACAUUUAAUUUAGUCUAAUAGAUGAAAUUGUAAGAGGAUGGGGACUUUGUCUAGAGCCGCCCCCACCAAAAUCUGUCUCUAAUCUGAACCAAUGCCUGGCAGACAGUGGUCACCCAGGAAAUAAUUGUGGAGUGAAAAACCAUGGAACAUAACGCCCUCCAUUUCAUAGAAUAGCCAGGAUUAAAUAUGAUAAUGCAUUUACUGAUUAUUUUAAUUAUAAUGCAUUUGAUUAACUUAGAAUGUUUAAUACACAUAGUGGGUGCUGGAAAGCUGGCUGUCCUUUCAGUUUUUGUUUUUUUAAAUAAUGAAAGUAGUACCAAAAUUCAAGUUCUGCAGGAUGGCUCUCACAUUCUAAUUUAUUAAGCCUCAUCAUUAGCCACUCUCUGUUCUGUAUACAUACCUCAUAAUCUGACCUCAGGACCACCCUUUGUUCCCAGAUAAAUCAGGAAUGUGAGCAUUC
RNAcentral lists this long non-coding RNA (1700 nucleotides) under Homo sapiens (human). RNAcentral describes it as "HSALNT0318264". Lineage: Eukaryota; Metazoa; Chordata; Mammalia; Primates; Hominidae. The record is from RNAcentral.